This is a long non-coding RNA of Triticum aestivum (bread wheat), 1085 nucleotides long. RefSeq lists it as uncharacterized. The transcript is spliced from 2 exons. Lineage: Eukaryota; Viridiplantae; Streptophyta; Magnoliopsida; Poales; Poaceae. The record is from RefSeq and is a predicted model, not a curated record.
UAUCUUCGCCACGAAGGCAGCCCAGCAUGCGACCUCCAUGUCUCUCUCGUUUCCUCUCCCAUGUGGAGGAGAGGAAGCGGCUACGAUCACACCACCGGCGCUGGGUCGAUGGUGUCCUGCCUCGGCAACCAGGAUUGGGCAAGGUAGAUGCGAAGCAGCGGCGCACCCUCUCCCCGAGCUCCAAAUCCAUGGAAGCAGCAACGAGGUGAGCAGCGGCAAAGGCGCCUCCGCAGAACUGGCGGUCGGCGUCUGGCCUCUGGCAGAAUUGUGUGGACUAGCAGCGGCCACAGCGAUGCAGAGAAGGUGGAGGCUAGGAGGCGGGCAAGAAAAAGGGGAUGGCGAGGCAGAGGAAGUGGUGGGCAAAGGCGGAGGGAAGGAGAUCGGACAAGCUGCAUCGGGAGAUGAGGAGGAGAUGGGUCGGAAGCAUGCAAAAUGAGGAGGAGCUGGGCGGCGAGGUCAUGGUGGCCGGAGGAACCAAGAUCGACACCUCCCCAUCUAGAUCUUCCGCGAGGGAAUAAGCCAGGCGAGAAAAUUGUGACAUAUCCUGUUCGUCCAGUAGAUACGUCAACAGAUUUUGAAGGAACAAAACGCCUUCAACCAACUCAGCCAGUAAUAGAAGCUCUGUUUCUGCCUAAAUCUUAAUUUUUCAAUCUCUAAGAAUCAGUUUUGACAAUGACAUGAAACUUGUAACUCAUAUCAGUUCAUUUUCAGCCACUACACUCUACUCAUGCAUCAACAUGUUCCAUAGAAAGCUUAUAGAGAACUGAACCAAAAGAAGCUUCUUUCAUUUUAUGAAUUUGUUGAAUCCUAAAAAAUGAGAAAUCUAUCUUAGGAAGUGUUUACCGCAUCGACACACAGCGUGUGCUUAGUCACAAUUUUACAUACGUCAUUGGGCAGUCACCAUCAUAUAAACUGAUACCAUUUCAUUUUCAUUCCCUGCACUCUAUCUUCCUGUUUGAUCCUACAAUUGGACUCAAUCAAUGUACUAUUACCUAUUCUUUUCACUGCGAGAUGCAUGCCUCAUUACCUAUAUGUGCCAUUCUGUAAAGGGAGUCCAGUACUAGCUAAUUCCACUUAUAGUACAA